GCUGCUGCUGCAUCAGCUAUGGCUGUACCUGGAUUGGACUCUCGAAUCCCUAAUUUGAGUGCUGCAACCUCAGAACAUAAUCUCAGCAGAAUGGGAACUCAAAUGGGUGGGCCGUCAUUCGUGGACCCUAUGUAUCUUCAGUACUUGACUGCAACCUCAGAGCAUAAUCUCAGUAGAAUGGGAAAUCAAAUGGGAGGGCCGUCAUUCAUGGACCCUAUGUAUCUUCAGUACUUGACUGCUGAAUAUGUUGCUGCUCUUAACGAUCCUUCCUUGGACAGGAACUACAUGGGAAAUUCGUA
RNAcentral lists this long non-coding RNA (299 nucleotides) under Nicotiana benthamiana. RNAcentral's name for it is "long non-coding RNA (NBEN_LNC018876)". Lineage: Eukaryota; Viridiplantae; Streptophyta; Magnoliopsida; Solanales; Solanaceae. The record is from RNAcentral.